Molecule: ribosomal RNA, 484 nt
Filed under: uncultured bacterium
Lineage: Bacteria
Description: partial 16S ribosomal RNA
Rfam family: Bacterial small subunit ribosomal RNA
Source: RNAcentral
AUUGAACGCUGGCGGCAUGCUUUACACAUGCAAGUCGAACGGCAGCGCGGGCUUCGGCCUGGCGGCGAGUGGCGAACGGGUGAGUAAUACAUCGGAACGUGCCCAGUAGUGGGGGAUAGCUCGGCGAAAGCCGGAUUAAUACCGCAUACGACCUGAGGGUGAAAGCGGGGGAUCUUCGGACCUCGCGCUAUUGCAGCGGCCGAUGGCAGAUUAGCUAGUUGGUGGGGUAAAGGCCUACCAAGGCGACGAUCGGUAGCUGGUCUGAGAGGACGACCAGCCACACUGGGACUGAGACACGGCCCAGACUCCUACGGGAGGCAGCAGUGGGGAAUUUUGGACAAUGGGCGAAAGCCUGAUCCAGCAAUGCCGCGUGUGUGAUGAAGGCCUUCGGGUUGUAAAGCACUUUUGGCGGGAACGAAAAGGACUGUGCCAAUACCACGGUUCGAUGACGGUACCCGCAGAAUAAGCACCGGCUAACUACGUG